GCCGUUGUAGCACAGUGGUAGUGCGUGUGACUUGUACACAGCUGAACAGCUGAUCAAUCAAUCAUGAAGUCCCAGGUUCAAUCCCUGGCAGCGGCA
RNAcentral lists this transfer RNA (96 nucleotides) under Tetradesmus obliquus. RNAcentral describes it as "tRNA-Thr". It matches the Rfam family "tRNA". From Rfam's summary of the family: Transfer RNA (tRNA) molecules are approximately 80 nucleotides in length. Their secondary structure includes four short double-helical elements and three loops (D, anti-codon, and T loops). Further hydrogen bonds mediate the characteristic L-shaped molecular structure. tRNAs have two regions of fundamental functional importance: the anti-codon, which is responsible for specific mRNA codon recognition, and the 3' end, to which the tRNAs corresponding amino acid is attached (by aminoacyl-tRNA synthetases). tRNAs cope with the degeneracy of the genetic code in two manners: having more than one tRNA (with a specific anti-codon) for a particular amino acid; and 'wobble' base-pairing, i.e. permitting non-standard base-pairing at the 3rd anti-codon position. Lineage: Eukaryota; Viridiplantae; Chlorophyta; Chlorophyceae; Sphaeropleales; Scenedesmaceae. The record is from RNAcentral.